CGCGUAGGCGGAUUGUUAAGUUAGAGGUGAAAGCCCUGGGCUCAACCUAGGAAUUGCCUUUGAAACUGAUAGUCUAGAGUCCGAGAGAGGAUGGCGGAAUUCCCAGUGUAGAGGUGAAAUUCGUAGAUAUUGGGAAGAACACCAGUGGCGAAGGCGGCCAUCUGGCUCGGUACUGACGCUGAGGCGCGAAAGCGUGGGGAGCAAACA
Molecule: ribosomal RNA, 207 nt
Filed under: uncultured bacterium
Lineage: Bacteria
Description: partial 16S ribosomal RNA
Rfam family: Bacterial small subunit ribosomal RNA
Source: RNAcentral